GCUCGCUGGUUGGUUUGUCGGUCACGGGAAUGCCUCGGUCGUUUUGCGAUGUUCAGUGUCGGGAGCGUCAGUGUGUGCUAUUCCCACAGCGAAGU
This 95-nucleotide transfer RNA is filed under the name Allorhodopirellula heiligendammensis. Its description in RNAcentral is "Rhodopirellula heiligendammensis tRNA-Arg". The record is from RNAcentral. Lineage: Bacteria; Pseudomonadati; Planctomycetota; Planctomycetia; Pirellulales; Pirellulaceae.